RNAcentral lists this long non-coding RNA (2281 nucleotides) under Homo sapiens (human). RNAcentral describes it as "HSALNT0096970". The record is from RNAcentral. Lineage: Eukaryota; Metazoa; Chordata; Mammalia; Primates; Hominidae.
GUUCAGCUGAUUCUGUGUGGAGCAGAGGGAGUGCAUUGAACCCCAUGGCAGCAUUGCUGAUAUUGGAUGCCUGCUCUUUCUCUCAAGAAGCUACAGUGCGGUAAUUAAUUCAUUGUUCAAAUUUCAGAGCAGGCCAGGUUUUAAUCCCCUCUGAAAUUGGUUUCAUAUGUGGAAGUCAUAGUUCUCCACCUUCUAAUUGCAACAGGGAGAUAAUGCGGCAUUAGUAUCGCAAUUUUGAGCAUGGCAUUGGGCUGGAAAUAAAUAUCAUUUAAGCUUUGAAAGCGUGGCUGCUUGGAAACGUUUUCUUUCCUAUUUCACAAAUUUAAUGCAGAGAAGAGGCUGUGCUUAUUCAAAAGAAUUAUUCCUUGAGCUGCCAAAAAAAUUAAACAGGAGCAUUUUGGAUUCUAAAUAAACAGUCUUUCACUCUCAAAGUGAGUUUCAAGUCAGAUGGAGUGACUUGUUUGCGUAGACUUGCUGAGAUAAUAUUACCAUCAAGUUGAUUGAAUUUACAUUACUUUUUGUCAUGCUGUUUAUCUACAUAUACAUUGAACUUUGCACAGAAAGUCAUUCCUGAGCAAAGGUGACUGUGUCAGAGUCUGAAAGAAAGACUGGAGCAAGAGGAAAAAUUGCAAUUUUGUAGCUACUACCUGGCUAAUGUUUCUCUUCCAUCACCUUGGUCUUAAUCCUCCCCUUUUACUUAUGCAAAGAGGAGUCAAAUUGUUUGGAAAUCUUGGGGUUUAUUAAAAGCCUUUGAACUAGAUAAUGAAAAACUCUUUUGUUCCCUCCAUUAGCCUAGCACGGUUCUGACUUCUUCCUAUUCCCAUUGUUAAUAAAGGGCUUUUCAAAGAAGAGUCUUCUGACCGUUUUAAUACCUCAGUUGGUAUGUGUUUGCUUUAGGCCCUCAUCAACAAGACAAACCAACAUAGUUUUAGAAUACACAACUUAUUGUUUGUAUUUUUAUAGGGCUAUAUGUUUUUCAGAGCUCUGACACUAAGGCCUCUUGACACAGAAUUAUAGUUUCCCCAUAUUAUUGAUGAAAAGAUUAAUUAAUCUCUGUGAGCUUCAGUUUCUUCAAGGUCAUACAGCAUGCUGGAGUCAGGUAAGACUACCCAGACAAACUCUGCACCUCAAACAUCUUUGCCAAGUAGAUAUUUUAUUUAGUAUCCUGCCCUCCAGCAAAUCCCUGAAAGAAAGCCCAGGGGCACUGAAGUGAUAUGCAAGUCCCAAGUUGAAGCCAUGGGCUCCAGGCUUAUAUUCUGUGACGUACUUUUCACCCUCACUCUCCCAAGGCAUGGGGUAUAGCUCUUGCACUGAGCUGGCUCUAUAUACAGAGGAAAUCUGAUACAGUUCAGACUAGCUCUUCAAAUCCUUCUUUGUUACAAUAAGAAAAUCUCAUUUAUGAGACUUAACUCCAAGAGUAAUGACAGCAACAAUAAUAAAAAAAAGGCUAACUUUAUAAACGAUUACGAUACGCUAAUCACUUUAUAUACAAAUUCUCAUUUAGUCCUCAUAGCAAAUAUGAGAAAGGUACUAUUACCACCCAUUUUACAGAUGGUAAAACUGAGAUUUGGGGACAUUAUCACAUAUGGGAAUCUGGAUUUAAACCCAACGUGUCUGACUCCAGAGUCUACACUUGCAGCUAUUCAUGCUGCCCUCUGUGUGCCAGGUGCUUUUCAUACAGCAUUGCCAAUUCUCACAAUAACUUCACAAAAAUAGAAAGUGAAGAGUCUAGCUCAAGGUCACAGAGCUAUUAAGGAACAGUUUCAAGAUCUAACACUAUGCCAGCCUGACUCCUUCCUUUAUGCUGAGGUGCUUUGCCCACUGCUAGGGAGAGAUCUGGCCCCGUGGCAAGGCCUGCCAAAGCCCUGGGUGAGAGGACGCCAUAGGCUACUUACCACGUUCUUGUAGAGGUAGUACACCACCAUCCUGGCCAGGCGCGAGUAACACCAGUGGCCAUGCACGAGCAGCAACUUCUUGAGAUGCUUAAAGCGGGUGAUGGCAAAGUCGCUGGACAUGACAGCCUGAGAGGUGAGAACAGACACAUCAGCUUCCAUCCAUGGCUGCCAGUGCCCCAGAGGGACUCUCUCAAGGGCGUUGCUUUGGUCUAGGCCUACGGCCAGCAGAGUCCUAAAGACCCCUUGUUGUGGUCACUCUUGGGUAGCUUUUUGGAUUCUGACACCCCACCCUCCCUUCUGGGAAAUCCAAACCUCUCUAGAAUCCAAGGAGGGCAGAUCAGAAGGGAUCAGUGGUCUAGGCUGGCUCUUCAUCCGUUUAUCCAGCA